GAUGAAGAACGCAGCGAAAUGCGAUAAGUAAUGUGAAUUGCAGAAUUCAGUGAAUCAUCGAAUCUUUGAACGCACCUUGCGCCCCUUGGUUAUUCCAAAGGGCAUGCCUGUUUGAGUAUCAUGAACACCUCAACUCUUGUGGUUUCCCACAAUGAGCUUGGACUGUGGAGGUUUUGUUGGCCCUGUGGGCAGCUCCUCUCAAAUGGAUCAGCUUACCGGUGUUUGGUGGCAUUACGGGUGUGAUAACUAUCUACGCUCGUGGUCGUCUCCAAAUAACCUCCAGUGAUGGAGGUUCGCUGGAGCUUAUAAAUGUCUCUCCCCAGUGAAGACAGCCUUUGAACGUUCGAUCUCAAAUCAGGUAGGACUACCCGCUGAACUUAAGCAUAUCAAUAAGCGGAGGA
Molecule: unclassified non-coding RNA, 401 nt
Filed under: soil metagenome
Description: partial contains 5.8S ribosomal RNA, internal transcribed spacer 2, and large subunit ribosomal RNA
Rfam family: 5.8S ribosomal RNA (bases 1-121)
Source: RNAcentral